GUGCUCACUUCGGAAGCACAUAUACUAAAAUUGGAAAGAUACAGAGAAGAUUAGCAUGGCCCCUGCGCAAGGAUGGCACACAAAACAUUAAAAAAAAAACAUACUCAU
Molecule: small nuclear RNA, 108 nt
Organism: Suncus etruscus (white-toothed pygmy shrew)
Lineage: Eukaryota; Metazoa; Chordata; Mammalia; Eulipotyphla; Soricidae
Source: RefSeq, a predicted model, not a curated record